Molecule: long non-coding RNA, 313 nt
Organism: Photinus pyralis (common eastern firefly)
Lineage: Eukaryota; Metazoa; Arthropoda; Insecta; Coleoptera; Lampyridae
Exons: 2
Source: RefSeq, a predicted model, not a curated record
UUCUACUUAAGUUCCUAUGGUACCGGUGUUUAUGCUGAUAUUUCUAUCCGGAGUUUUAGGAAUGACCAAAUUUACUGGUGAAUCCAAAAUGUGGUGGACGGAAGAACAUGAAGGUUAUAAUCUCCGAUUGACAAGUACAUUUUCGGAAUGGAUUUUAGCAUUAAUUAUAUUUACUUAUAUAUCUACAUUUUCAAACGAAAUCAAAUGCAUUGAAUUUGAAGGUGUUCAGUUAAAAAUUGAUGGCAAAGAUGUAAAUGAGUAUCAGUUGCAGGACUAAGGUAAAUGAUGGCGAAUAAAGAAAUAAUGACAAAUA